Molecule: long non-coding RNA, 311 nt
Filed under: Homo sapiens (human)
Lineage: Eukaryota; Metazoa; Chordata; Mammalia; Primates; Hominidae
Description: HSALNT0389175
Source: RNAcentral
CCUGAGGUCAGGAGUUUGAGACCAGCCUGGCCAACAUGCUGAAUGAACUGGGAUUUCUUGGAGAAGUGGUAGAGCCAAGCUCUGGAACCGGAAAUACGCAAGGGAUCUCCAGCUCCAUGAAUGGUAUCUCCAUCUCUUCAGGUGACUGAGUUGGAAAUCUUGGCUUCACUCCACCAAUGACCUGAGUCAUUCUUAGAAAGUCUGAAGAAGGAGCAUGCAGCUCUGAGGGUGGCAGCAGGUCCAGGAAUUGGAAUGUGACCACAGGGGAAUUCUUCAUAAAGGGCUGAACUUUACUGGAUGAGUUUCCCCUG